UUUCCUCACUGAGCUCCAUUUAGCCCCCUCCACCUCAUUCAAAAUGGCUUUUGCUGCAGGAAGCCAUGCUGCUAGGAGUUACACUGACUACAACUGCUCCUGGAGCCCUCUUCAGUUAGAAAGAGAGGGAUUCCAUAGUGUGGAAACAGUGCACAUUACUGAAGACUCUUCCUGCAUUCUCUUUAAGGGAUGUAAACUGAGUAACAACUUGUUGAAGACUGAAAAUGUGGUACGCAAUUCAAGAAUGUGAUCUUCUCAUCUUCAAAGGUGGAGGGGGUUCCAGCUCCCCGGUAAACCGAACUGGAAGUGGAUGUAGGUGGAAACAGGGCCGGCUCCAGCUUUUUUGCCGCCCCAAAAAGAAAAAAGGAGAAGGAAAAAAAAAAGCCGCGAUCAACAGCACUUCGAUGGCAGCUCUACCAUGCCGCUUCAUUCUUCGGCAGCAAGUCCUUCCCUCCGAGGGGGACUGAGGGACUUGCCACCGAAGACCCGGAUGUGCCACACCUUCCCAUUGGCCGCCCCGAGCACCUGCUUCCUGCGCUGGUGUCUGGAGCCGGCCCUGGGUGGAAAGCAUCCCCUAAAGAAACUGCGGAAAGGGAAUGAGACUCCUAACAUCAGGUACAUUGAGGAGAACCCCCUUUCCUCAUCCCCCUCAGUCCACAUGCAUGAGAGGAGGGCAGUUGGAGUCUCAGCAAUGGGCUUGAGACAGAUUUAGAGGGUGGAGGUCUGAUGGCAGCUCUCCCCAAAUAGGUAGACAAGUUUGCCAAAGGAAUGAUGAUAUACAAGUUAUUGCUGGAUAAUUCCCAGGUGAUCUAAGUUAAUAAACUUUUGUGGCCUAAUUAAACCACAUCCUUCACAUCUUGUGUUUCUUCCUGCAUGUGUGGGACUAUUUCAGGAAAUUGUUUGGACUACUGGCAUCUCCCAUGCUGCAAAGUAGAUGGCCCUCUCUCCCUCAUGUAUUUUCAGACACCUUCAGACCAUAUGUCUGUCCAAAUGAAUCUGCAAAAGUUUAGGUUCAACAGACUCUAACACCACUGAUGUAGGUGGAUUUGGACUAUGGUUUGGAUUUUUUUUGUUUUGCAUUUAAGAAAAUCAUACAUGGCUUUUGAAAGAAAUAUUCAGAUGCAGGUUUCUAUCUACUUCACUUGUAGUAGAGUGUGCCAACAGCUUAUUAUAUGGGCCUGAUCCUUCUAGCCUCGUCCCCACUACUGACUCGGAACUCAUGUUUAUUGACAUUACUGACUCAGAUUGGUACAUUGUUUUUGUGCUUCUUAGGUAUUUCCAUCAGUUUCAGCAGCAUUUAAAGCAUAGCCAAAGCUAAUUUUCUAGCCCUUAUGAUACCAAGGAUGAUAAACGGAA
This is a long non-coding RNA of Mauremys reevesii (Reeves's turtle), 1356 nucleotides long. RefSeq lists it as uncharacterized. The transcript is spliced from 3 exons. The record is from RefSeq and is a predicted model, not a curated record. NCBI's taxonomy places the organism in Eukaryota, Metazoa, Chordata, Testudines, Geoemydidae.